AGGAUUAACGCUGGCGGCGUGCCUAACACAUGCAAGUCGAACGAGGUAGCAAUACCGAGUGGCAGACGGGUGAGUAACACGUGAUCAACCUACCGAAGAGUGGGGGAUAACUCGCUGAAAGGUGAGCUAAUACCGCAUAGGUCGGCGUCGGCAUCGACGCGUGACGAAAGGAGCAAUUCGCUCUUCGACGGGAUCGCGCCCGAUUAGUUAGUUGGUGGGGUAAUGGCCUACCAAGACAUCGAUCGGUAGCUGGUUUGAGAGAGCGACCAGCCACACUGGAACUGAGAUACGGUCCAGACUCCUACGGGAGGCAGCAGUGAGGAAUUUUCCGCAAUGGACGAAAGUCUGACGGAGCGACGCCGCGUGUGGGAAGAAGGCCCUCGGGUCGUAAACCGCUGUCGAAGGGGACGAUUUUGACGGUACCCUUGGAGGAAGCCCCGGCUAACUACGUGCCAGCAGCCGC
RNAcentral lists this ribosomal RNA (463 nucleotides) under uncultured bacterium. Its description in RNAcentral is "SSU rRNA". It matches the Rfam family "Bacterial small subunit ribosomal RNA", at positions 26 to 518 of the family's 1533-position model. The record is from RNAcentral.